Molecule: long non-coding RNA, 2027 nt
Organism: Cloeon dipterum
Lineage: Eukaryota; Metazoa; Arthropoda; Insecta; Ephemeroptera; Baetidae
Exons: 5
Source: RefSeq, a predicted model, not a curated record
AAAUGGGUGAUGAUAUAUACACGGAUCGUCCGUGUAUUUAUCAAAAUUUUGUGCAUAUUUGUUAUUUGCACAGACGAUCUGUGUCAAAGGAAUGCGUGUAUUUGUUAUUUGCACAGACGAUCUGUGUCAAAGGAAUGCGUGUAUUUGUUAGUUGCAAAGACGAUCUGUGUACAAGGGAAUGCGUGUAUUUGUUAGUUGCAAAGACGAUCUGUGUACAAGGGAAUGCGUGUAUGUGUUAGUUGCAAAGACGCUUAUAGGAUAUGAUACGGUGACGUCAUAACAUUCUUUUGGCGGUGAAUUUUUCAAAAUGGCGGACGAGCCAGUGGGUCCAUGUAAUGCGUUCCGCUUUCUAGGGUCAUUUUUUGCCUUUUUAGGGUAGAAAUCACGCCUAAAGUGACGAGAUAAAGCGGUCCUGGCUUCACUAGCAACCUGUGCGAUGAAGUUCUCUUGUGAGAAAACCAUCCCUGGCCUCAUGGGUGGCGUGUACCAUGCAGAUUCCUCAUUCCUGUGAGAAAGCGACGCUGGCAGCAUGGCCAAGCUUCGUAAUGCAGGCGCAGCCACUCAGUGUCCUUUCGGAAGAUGCGAUCCUGAUUGCUUUGCAGGCCGUGGCAGACAGAUUUCCUGUGAAAAAGCGACGCUGCCAGCAUGGCCAAGCUUCGUAAUGCAGGCGCAGCCACUCAGUGUCCUUUUGGAAGAUGCGAUCCUGAUUGCUUUGCAGGCCGUGGCAGACAGAUUUCCUGUGUAAAAGCGACGCUGCCAGCAUGGCCAAGCUUCGUAAUGCAGGUGCUGCCAUACUAAUUUCUGUGAGGAAUGCAAACCAGGCUUCGCGGGCAAAAAUUGAAUUAAAAUAAUUUUGAAAAUAUUUAUUAUUAAAUUAAUUAAUUAGAGCUGAAGAUAUUUGUGCUCAGAGAAAAUAUCUUGGCAUCAUGAAUAUAUCUGCGGCUAAAUACAAAACGGGGAUGGGCACGAAAUUCAAAGAGGAAAAUAUUUGCCUGUUGUUUUUCUAUUACCAAGCCGCCUGUGAACUGAGAACACUUUUGGCCCCCUCUCGGUCACUGGAGUCGCCAUAUUUUUCUACGACUGCUGCGCCAAUUGAAUAGAAAUGUCAAUUUUCGUUUUUAACCACCUAUGGUCUCCCUAUUCCACUGGAGUUGUUUUUUAUUUCAACUAAAGCUCCUAUAACUAGACAAAAAGUGUUAAAUUUCUUGUUGAAUCACUCAUGGUCCCCCUCUACUACUGGAGGUGCAAAUUUUUAGCGUCUGCAGUGCCAUUUAAACGUACCCUAUCGAAAACACUUCCAAUACCCCUCUGCGUAUGCAAAAUUAACCGUUGUUACACUCAAAACCACACUUGACCCCCUCUCCAAUACUGGAGUCGUGAAUUUAGCGACCCAAAUGGCCAAUCUAACAACUACAACCCCUUUUCAAAUCCUUACCACCUCAACUUCUCUCUCAACUCCUACUCUAAAGGGGGGGGGGCAAGUGUGCUGUUUUACCGAAUUUUCCUCAAUUUUACUGUCUUCUUUAAGGUUAGCCAUUUGCUGAUGCUGCAGUCGAUGUUGGGCAGAUUCUGCAAUGCAAAUAUCUGUGACAAAAUCUACCCUGGCUCCAAGGGCAGACAUGCAUUGAUACAUUUAUGAAUAUUUUUCUUCAUCAGUGACUCGUUUUGUAGCAACAUAUUAAUUUAUUAAAAAUUUCAGGUCCCUUGCUAAUUUCAACUUGAAUCAUCGGCUCGCGCUUAAAUGCAGAUUCCCUAAUGGAGAGCAAUGAUUGCGCUGUACUGUGAGAGCAGAGCGACACCGUGAGUGAUGUUCUGGCUGGCAAAGCAGAUUCCAGCGAGCAGAGCAAAAAGCAGAGCGUGAUGGGCAGUUCUUCUGCGACCUAAAUUAUCGGAAGAGGGGUAUUGCAGUGCCAAGGAUGCGAGACUUGGUACCAUCCUAAGUGCAUCAAUCACCCAUUAGCAGACCAAGAUCAAAUGAAAGACUUGACCUUCACCGACAUUCCGAACUGGACGUGCCAAAAAUGCAA